UUCGACGUAACUUGAAAAACAAUUAUUGAUAUUUGCUAACUUUUGCCGUUAUAAAUAAACAUAUGCAGACUUACUGGGUAUAAAGACCAUUUUGGGCACGUCAGCUGAUAAGAUAUUCUCUCUAAUAAGCAACUAUGUCAAAAACUGUUCUAAUAUUGUUACUACUGGGAGUUUUGGCGAUUACUUUCGCUAAGGGACAAGUCUGUCCCAUCUUUACGUGUAAUGUUUCUGGAGUGCCUUGCUGUGGUUUUCCCAAAUACACACUGAUAGAAGGAUUUAUUUUGCAGGUGUGAGGUAGAGGAUUCUACAAGUGGAUUAGGAUCAUGCAAAUUCAAACUGAUGUGGGGAGAAGGAAAAGAAUAACGCUUGAAAAAAACCCAGGCAGCUAAUUACACGUUCAAGAACUUCAACAGACUGGAUAAUCCUUUAAACACAUUUGGGAAUUGCAAAUUGAAGCCACGUCACCACAAGAAGAAAGCGUUUGCUUGAAUAGAUUAGUAAUUACAUUGUGGGAGUACUUUUCCACUCUCGGAAAUUUUGUGUCAACCACCGUACUCUUUGGGCCAUAAAAUCCCUUCCCCGGCAUUCAAGGGGCUCAUGACGUCACGGGACCCCAAGACCAACGCUAAGUGUUAGCAAAGGCUAACACCCUCAAGAGUCAAGGGGCAUGAGGCAGAUUUUCCUCAGCCACUGAAAUAUACACACUUACGGUCUAGGACACAUCCUAUUUUCCUUUAUUUCACGCAUCGUAUUAUUGUAAUCGCGAAGUACUAUAUUGACUAUUAUUUAUACACGAAAUUUAUCUAUUGUAUUGUUUUCUGAUAACUAUAUUCUACGGGAUUGAUUAUUUAUUGUGAGAUUUAAUUAACUUCAUCCGAAUAUUGUAAA
Cotesia glomerata is the source of this 888-nucleotide long non-coding RNA. RefSeq lists it as uncharacterized. The transcript is spliced from 5 exons. Lineage: Eukaryota; Metazoa; Arthropoda; Insecta; Hymenoptera; Braconidae. The record is from RefSeq and is a predicted model, not a curated record.